GAUGAACGCUGGCGGCGUGCCUAAUACAUGCAAGUCGAGCGAACGGACGAGAAGCUUGCUUUUCUGAUGUUAGCGGCGGACGGGUGAGUAACACGUGGAUAACCUACCUAUAAGACUGGGAUAACUUCGGGAAACCGGAGCUAAUACCGGAUAAUAUUUUGAACCGCAUGGUUCAAAAGUGAAAGACGGUCUUGCUGUCACUUAUAGAUGGAUCCGCGCUGCAUUAGCUAGUUGGUAAGGUAACGGCUUACCAAGGCAACGAUGCAUAGCCGACCUGAGAGGGUGAUAGGCCACACUGCGACUUAGACACGGUCCAGACUCCUACGGGAGGCAGCAGUAGGGAAUCUUCCGCAAUGGGCCAAAGCCUGACGAAGCAACGCCGCGUGAAUGAUGAAGGUCUUCGGAUCGUAAAACUCUGUUAUUAGGGAAGAACAUAUGUGUAAGUAACUGUGCACAUCUUGACGGUACCUCCUCAGAAAGCCACGGCUAACUCCGUG
RNAcentral lists this ribosomal RNA (497 nucleotides) under uncultured bacterium. Its description in RNAcentral is "partial 16S ribosomal RNA". It matches the Rfam family "Bacterial small subunit ribosomal RNA", at positions 28 to 507 of the family's 1533-position model. The record is from RNAcentral.